AGGAAAUCUGCUUCUGUUGGUUUGGUAUUACUAAAACAUCACAGGAGCAGAGUUUUUCC
Molecule: microRNA precursor, 59 nt
Organism: Acanthochromis polyacanthus (spiny chromis)
Lineage: Eukaryota; Metazoa; Chordata; Actinopteri; Pomacentridae
Source: Ensembl